UUAUGGUAUCCACUUGUGUAAAUGUUUUAAAUUGACGAUUGAAUUAGUUCAUUGUAUUCAUAUAGGGUUAAAGAGUGUAGCUAUAAAAAAUCAUCAAAAUCGGAGUUAAAAUAACCGUUAAAUCGUGAAUUUUCGUUUUCAACCGUCGAAACGUUUUGUCCGGUAACUUUACCUUUGAACGUUUUUUUUUUGUGAGAUUUUUUGCGUAUGCGAUCUCGAAGCAUAUACAAACAAGUUUGACGGUUGGAUCGUUGAAACUAGUCUCGUAAAAUGCGUAUCCCUUUAAAACGAUAUAUUCCCUAACACUUAGAUUUUAUUUAUACUUACAUCAACUAUAACAUAAGAGUUUGUGGUAUCCACUUGUGUAAAUGUUUUAAAUUGACGAUCGAAUUAGUUCAUUGUAUUCAUAUAGGGUUAAAGAGUGUAGCUGUAAAAAAUCAUCAAAAUCGAAGUUAAAAUAACUGUUAAAUAGUGAAUUUUCUUUUACAACCGUCUAAACGUUUUGUCCCGUAACUUUACCUUUUGAACUUUUUUUUGUUGAGAUUUUUUGGGUAUGCGAUCUCGAAGCAUAUACAAACAAGUUUGACGGUUGGAUUGUUGAAACUAGUCUCGUAGAAUGUGUAUUACAUUAAAACGAUAUUUUCCCUAACACUUUGAUUUUAUUUAUACUUGCAUCAACUAUAACAUAAGAUUUUAUGGUAUCCACUUGUGUAAAUAUUUUAAAUUGACGAUCGAAUUAGUUCAUUGUAUUCAUAUAGGGUUAAAGAGUGUAGCUAUAAAAAAUCAUCAAAAUCGGAGUUAAAAUAACCGUUAAAUCAUGAAUUUUCGUUUACAACCGUCGAAACAUUUUGUCAUGUAACUUUACCUCUGAACGUUUUUUUUUUGAGAUUUUUUGCGUAUGCGAUCUCGAAGCAUAUACAAACAAGUUUGACGGUUGGAUCGUUGAAACUAGUCUCGUAGAAUGCGUAUCCCAUUAAAACGAUAUAUUUCCUAACACUUAGAUUUUAUUUAAACUUGCAUCAACUAUAACAUAAGAUUUUAUGGUAUCCACUUGUGUAAAUGUUUUAAAUUGACGAUCGAAUUGGUUCAUUGUAUUCAUAUAGGGUUAAAGAGUGUAGCUUUAAAAAAUCAUCCAAAUCGGAGUUAAAAUAAUUGUUAAAUAGUGAAUUUUCGUUUACAACCGUCAAAACGUUUUGUCCGGUAACUUUACCUUUGAAUGUUUUUUUUUGAGAUUUUUUGCGUAUGCGAUCUCGAAGCAUAUACAAACAAGUUUGACGGUUGGAUCGCUGUAUUAUGUUUUGUACAAUGCGUAUCGCAUCAAGUUUAUUGGUAUAUAUAUAUAUAUAUUUAUUUAUUUAUUAUGUAGAUUUAAAUGUAUUAAUUUUUUACGUAUAACACUUAAGAAAUCGAAUGAGU
This 1416-nucleotide long non-coding RNA is filed under the name Malus domestica (apple). RNAcentral describes it as "long non-coding RNA (MDOM_LNC019121)". The record is from RNAcentral. Lineage: Eukaryota; Viridiplantae; Streptophyta; Magnoliopsida; Rosales; Rosaceae.